GCUGGAAUUCAGUCUUGCUGCUCUUCCACUUGGCUCUUUGCUUGACUCUUUCAGCAGCAUACAGGAAAGUGCAUGCCAUCAAAACUCAGCAACACGAGCUGGGAAAAUGAUCUCUUUCACCUGUAGAAACCCCAAUCAAAAUGAUAAAUGGCAGCUUAAAUAGAAGCUUACUAAGAAUCAUCCCUGUGCCGUUUCAUUUUCUUGCCAAUGACGCAAUGCUAGAUGGAAAAGCACAAGUCUUGCCCUUCCUUCCAAAUCAGUUUAACUAACCAUUUUUAUUUCUAUUGGUCCUUUUUGUUCCAGACUUUUACUCUGCUUUGCAUGAAAAUGACGGUUCUUUCUCUCCCUUGGCAGUUCAGAGAAAUUAAACCUAAUGCCCAAGUCCCAAACUGCUAAAAACAAUAUGGCAAAUGUUGUUACAGUGGUACUUCGGGUUACAUACGCUUCAGGUUACAGACUCCGCUAACCCAGAAAUAUUACCUCAGGUUAAGAACUUUGCUUCAGGAUGAGAACAGAAAUCGUGCUCCGGCGGCACAGUGUUAGCAGGAGGCCCCAUUAGCUAAAGUGGUGCUUCAGGUUAAGAACAGUUUCAGGUUAAGAACGGACCUCUGGAAUGAAUUAAGUACUUAACCCGAGGUACCACUGUAUUUAUUUGGCUGCAUGCAUUGCCUUCCCAUAUGACAUUUUGGUUUUUUUAUUAACCGACCAAUCAAAUCAAAUCAAAUCAAAUCACAUCACAUAAAUUCCGAAUUACAAAGCCGAAUUUUAAAUUUUUGUUGAGGGGACCCAUAUUUCAAGUUUUGAAGGGGGAUUCCGAUCAUCUUCUUGCUACUGCGUUCAUAUCCAAAUCAGUCCAAAUAAAGUUCAUAAUUCUAUCCAGUCUUAUCUUGCUGUUUCCACAUCUCAUCUUAUUUGUACAUUUUUUCUUUUUCUUUAUGAUCUCUUCUGAUAAUCUCCUUAAGCAGAUAAACACCAAUUAUAUCCUGUGUGGAUUUUUCCGUUCGACCAAUCCUCAUAUUGUGAUGGUUUCCAUAUAUCAUCACUUUCAUAAAUAACAUCGCUCUUUCCAUCAUUAAUCUCAGGAUCUGUCGUUUUUGAGUCCCACUGAGGAGUCUCACCCACAGUAUAAAAACAGCUCUUUUCCUCCUCCCAGACUCAAGUCCUCCGACAGAGCUUACCAAUAUGGCGACGGUAUUUUUAACUGCGUCAUUCCAGAGCUCUUAAACUUUCCACGCUCUUCUUAAAACAUGCUUUGGUUAGAAAGAUUAUCUCCACACAGACGUAAAUCCACAGCUUAAGUCAUUAAAGUGGCAUUUCUGACUUGUGAGGGGGGGGUCUUGUUUUAUCACAUAGAGGAAAGAAAGAAAGGUUUUUUUCCCCUCCUCCAUCAGUCCCUUUGCCAUACCGAGUCUUAGCUGUCUUCUCAUGAUUGAUUCUUAUUCUUCCGACUCGUCUUGCAUAUCAGAGAACUCUUCAGUUAGCAGUCUUUACUCCCCCUCCUUCCUUGAAAUAUGUGCAUUCGCUUCUUCCUAAUUGUUCCUUUUGAAGUUCUUGCAGCUAGCGGCGCGGAUCAGGGACGGCGUCCAGGAGCACCGAGAUCCACAGGGGGGCAUUCUGCCUAGUGCCCCCAUCCCCUCAAAUUCGGGGGUGGUAUAGGGCACAGCAGGCAUGGGCAGCCCCCCCCCAUAAUCCUGGGGGGGGGGUAGGGAGGCUAUUUACUCCCAUCACAGCCUCCUAAUUACCCCCUGUGGGUCGGAGAGAUGUUAUUGUCAGCCAUCAUCCGAUGCGCCCCUAGUGGCCCCUCAAAAUGUGACAUUUUGUUGUUGCUUUUAAUAGACUUGUGAGCCCCUCCUUACAAGCCCGAUGCAGUGGAAAGGUGACAUAGAAAUGAUUUAAAUAAAUACAUAAAAUAGAGCAGGAGUCACUAUAGUUUACAUUGCAGUUUCUGGUGAUUUGCCAUUCAAAUACACCAAUAACAAACCUUCAGGCUUUGGGGUCUUUAAGAAAAGAAAGUUUUAAUUAUUUCCUCUCACGAGUAAUAAUGCCAGCGAUUUGAAUAGGAGGAAGGCUGAGAUUUGUUUAUGUUGGCUAUACCUUACUCUUCAUCCACCUGCCAGUCUUGUUACAGUAUCAAGUCUGCUUUACUGUUCCAAACAAAGCAGGAGACAAGUUGUUUCUUUGGUGGUUACAGCAUAUGGAGAUCUUUUUGUGAAUUGCUAUUUUCUUUGGUCACCAAAGGCUAACAUCGCUUUGCAUUUUCAUUAAGUGAGGGAUAUCAAAAGCCCCAAAAUAAGCAAGGUGAAAUGUUGCAGAGCAACAGAGGCUUCUUUAGGAGAGGAUAAUUUGAAAAUAAAAUCAGAAUGUAAUAGCUCCACAGGCAAGAGAGGGGUGGUGGUGGUGGAAUCAAGCUGGUUUGUUUUUCAAAAACGUUUUUUAAAAUAAUCCUUCCUCCUCUCUACUGAUGGGGCUUAUUCUUUGCUUGAAGAGCAGUCGCUAGGAAAGUUCUCACAUUCUCUCAAUGAGGUUGCUGCACACUUAGCUCCUGAUCCUAUAAUCAGCUUUGUGUGGGAGCACUCCUGAGUUGUUUGUUUUCAUUAAACAGGAGAAGGUACUUCUGUUUAAUCUGCAUCCCACAUGCUGACAAAGAAUUGUGCUAUAUUUUGAUUCUUUCCAGAAUAACAGGCAGUCUUAUAUUAGGAAAAUAUAUGGCAAUAAAUCUUAGAGAGAACGUUCGCCAACUCCUGUGACAUCCUCAGAAACUGACCAGACUGAGACUUGAAUGUUACAGUGUCCUCCACCACACUUGAGGGCAGAAGGUUAGCUUAGGGCAUGCAGAGAUAGGCCCCAUGGGGCACACAAUUUUGUCCUCCAACAUCUCUUUUUUUAAAAAAAAUGAUAUUUAUUGGAAAAAAAUUUUUUUUUAAAGUUACAAAAAAAAACAAAGUAGAAAAAGAGAAAAACAAACCACUUCCAACAAUACAAAUUCAAAUUC
This 2992-nucleotide long non-coding RNA is filed under the name Podarcis lilfordi (Lilford's wall lizard). The record is from RNAcentral. Lineage: Eukaryota; Metazoa; Chordata; Lepidosauria; Squamata; Lacertidae.